UAUAGCCAUUAAUGUGCAAUCCAACUAUCAGCUUAGGCUUUUAGUUGAGAUGGAGCACAUGCUUCAAUUUGGGUGAAGAAUUUUUUGUAGCUCUUUGCUUGUUGGUGAAGACGUAACUCUUUGUUAGACUCUUUGUUAGGUCCCCACAGACGGCGCCAUUUGAUGGUAUUAAUUCCUACGUACUGUAAGUAUACAUGUGUGGAUGAAAUAUAGAAUCACUGUAGAAUGAAUAAAGAAGAUGAGAUAUAGUAAAGGGGUUCUUUUAUUCAUCUUGUUCUUUUCUUUGUAGAGAGAAGGGGGAGAGGUGUGUGUAGAGAGAGUAAUCCGAGAGAUUGAAUGGAGUCCUCUCUCUCUUAGAGGACCAAAAAGCCCUUUUAUAGGCCUAAGGUGGCGGGUUUGACCCGUCACCCUUGACUUUGACCCGUAGAUCGGAUCCCGAACCGCUCGACCCUGACCUGACUAUAAACGAACCCAUAGAUGUACAAGUGGUCGGUACCGGGGUAUAUAUCCUAUCACCCAGGAUAUUUCUCCAUUGAAGACUUGCAGAGCUAUUAGACUGCAAUUGGUGCGCACCUGGCCUAUAUGAAGUCCCAUAGAGAAAGGGGAGUGAUUCCAUAAAAUCUAGAGAGUGCAUGUUUCACGAUUAAGAGACUUUCAGAGCUAUUAGAUGGUGAUUGGUGUGCACCUAUAUAAAGUUCCAUAGAGAAAGAGGGAACUUCAUGAUCAUAUACCAAGGGAGCAUGUUGGGUCGUUGAGAUGUACUCCCCAUUGGAUAAGAUCAUUGCAGGGAAACCUUCUUAACUUAUUGAUUUUCUAAUUUUUAUUUGUUUAUAGGGACAACCAAUUGAAGGCUACAGUGUGAGAUCAACAUAUACCAAGAGUUGAAACCUUUUUUUAAGUCUGGCCUUGCAAAUCCUAUGGUUGUUCUUAUGCAAUUGUGUAGAGUUAAAGAAUGAUACGAGGAGUUAAUCUAAACACAAGUGUUUUAAUUUUUCUUUAUAUUUGAAAGUAUUUGAAUAAGGUUAAGUAAUGAAUGUUCUUUUUUAUUAGCCAGUUAUGUCAAGAUAUGUAACUCUUGAUACAUAACUCCUUUUCAAUCAGGAUUUUCAGAGUUUUGUGAUUUUUU
Molecule: long non-coding RNA, 1126 nt
Organism: Ipomoea nil (Japanese morning glory)
Lineage: Eukaryota; Viridiplantae; Streptophyta; Magnoliopsida; Solanales; Convolvulaceae
Exons: 5
Source: RefSeq, a predicted model, not a curated record